RNAcentral lists this long non-coding RNA (212 nucleotides) under Panax ginseng (ginseng). Its description in RNAcentral is "long non-coding RNA (PGIN_LNC001800)". Lineage: Eukaryota; Viridiplantae; Streptophyta; Magnoliopsida; Apiales; Araliaceae. The record is from RNAcentral.
ACCAACUGGAUCAUGUUCACCCAUUUUGCAGUGAUACAACGCCUUUCGUGUAUCAUACCUCUCCUGUCGAGCAUGCCCUUCAAACAAUUUCUUGAGAUGCUCGAUCAUCUCAUAAGCAUCCAUCAACUCAUGUUGCUUCUGAAGCUCAGCGUUCAUGGUUGCUAGCAUGACACAACUCACGUCCAAAGCAUCAUCUUGAUGCUUCUUGUAAG